This 370-nucleotide ribosomal RNA is filed under the name uncultured organism. RNAcentral describes it as "bacterial SSU rRNA". It matches the Rfam family "Bacterial small subunit ribosomal RNA", at positions 526 to 896 of the family's 1533-position model. The record is from RNAcentral.
CGUAGGAGACGAGCGUUAUCGGAUUACUGGGCGUAAAGCGUGUGCAGGCGGUUCGGCGAAGUUGGAUGUGAAAUCUCCCGGCUCAACUGGGAGGGGCGUUCAAUACUACCGAACUUGAGGUCAUCAGAGGAAGGUGGAAUUCCGGGUGUAGUGGUGAAAUGCGCAGAUAUCCGGAGGAACACCAGUGGCGAAGGCGGCCUUCUGGGAUGAUCCUGACGCUCAGACACGAAAGCUAGGGGAGCGAACAGGAUUAGAGACCCCGGUAGUCCUAGCUGUAAACGAUGUAGACUUGGCGUCGGAGGGUUCAAAACCUUCGGUGUCGUAGCUAACGCGAUAAGUCUACCGCCUGGGGACUGCGGCCGCAAGGUUA